Molecule: ribosomal RNA, 253 nt
Filed under: uncultured bacterium
Lineage: Bacteria
Description: partial 16S ribosomal RNA
Rfam family: Bacterial small subunit ribosomal RNA
Source: RNAcentral
UACAGAGACUGCAAGCGUUAUUCGGAUUCACUGGGCGUAAAGGGUGCGCAGGCGGUCGGGUGUGUCAGAUGUGAAAUCCCGAGGCUCAACCUCGGAACUGCGUCUAAAACUACUCGACUAGAGUACUGGAGAGGGUAACGGAAUUCACGGUGUAGCAGUGAAAUGCGUAGAUAUCGUGAGGAACACCAGAGGCGAAGGCGGUUACCUGGACAGUUACUGACGCUCAGGCACGAAAGCAUGGGGAGCAAAAGGG